This 406-nucleotide ribosomal RNA is filed under the name uncultured bacterium. Its description in RNAcentral is "partial 16S ribosomal RNA". It matches the Rfam family "Bacterial small subunit ribosomal RNA", at positions 28 to 526 of the family's 1533-position model. The record is from RNAcentral.
GAUGAACGCUAGCUACAGGCUUAACACAUGCAAGUCGAGGGACCGGCGCACGGGUGAGUAACACGUAACCAACCUGCCCUUUACUCGGGGACAGCCUUUCGAAAGAUAGAUUAAUACCCGAUAUAAAGGAUGGGGAUGCGUUCCAUUAGGUUGUUGGUGAGGUAACGGCCCACCAAGCCUUCGAUGGAUAUGGGUUCUGAGAGGAAGGUCCACCACAUUGGAGCGGAGACCCAGUCCAAACUCCGACGGGAGGCAGCAGUGGGGAAUAUUGGUCAAUGGGCGUUAGCCUGAACCAGCCAAGUAGCGUGAAGGAUGAAGGCUUUUGGGUCUUAAACUUCUUGUAAAUAAGAAGAUGUAUUAUCUGAAUAAGGAUCGGCUAACUCCGUGCCAGCAGCCGCGGUAAUUC